Molecule: ribosomal RNA, 344 nt
Filed under: uncultured prokaryote
Description: bacterial SSU rRNA
Rfam family: Bacterial small subunit ribosomal RNA
Source: RNAcentral
AGAGUUUGAUCCUGGCUCAGAUUGAACGCUGGCGGCGUGCCUAACACAUGCAAGUCGAGCGGUAGCAGGUGUAGCAAUACAUGCUGACGAGCGGCGAACGGGUGAGUAAUGCUUCGGAAUCUACCCACGGGUGGGGAAUAACCAACCGAAAGGUUGGCUAAUACCGCAUAAGUCCUACGGGGGAAAGCGGGGGAUCGAAAGACCUCGCGCCGGUGGAUGAGCCGAAGCCGGAUUAGCUAGUUGGUAGGGUAAUGGCCUACCAAGGCGACGAUCCGUAGCUGGUCUGAGAGGACGACCAGCCACACUGGGACUGAGACACGGCCCAGACUCCUACGGGAGGCGAC